CGGUGCUCUCCAGCGCCGAGUUCCAGCCGCAGUGCGAGAAGAAGCCGCCGGUCGCAGCAUGGGCCAGCACCCUGACCUGCGGCGCCCACGACGGCACCACGCGGCCCACGUCCUUUGUCCGUUCCAAGAAGCCCUCGGGAAGGUAAUUCGACGGAUCGUCCUUGUUUCCUAACAUCAUUUAUAAACAGUAAAAUGCGACAAAUCAAGUAUAGCAACUGAGUUCUCCAACCAACUUUGGCCUAUGAAAGAAAUAACUUACGCACUAAAUCGAUGUGCGAAGAAUUGUAAAAACUCUAUACUAAUAAAUCAAAAUUAUAUAUAUUAUAAUAUCGGCACAUCAUCAAAUUUUAUAGCAAAUAGCUUAGUACCUGAUGUGAAGAAGGCGGCGUUCUUUUCUUUGUCACUCGGACACCUGACAACCCAAAGGAAGCGCUGCCCGCUGGCCUCCAGCCCGAGUGCCAUCUCCUGCAUCUGCUCCGUCGAGAGGGAGCCGCCACUUCCGAAAGACACGAAUAAAACCGAGUCGGCCGGCUGCCGGUCCAGCCACUCCAGGCAGCCCGACUCGUCCGCCUCGUCCGAACCGGACCGGACCAUCGGACCCACCAGGUGGACCGGCGGCCUCCCUGCUUCCGCUUGCUCCUCCUCUCUGAUGGCUUUCAGCACCUCCUGCUCCAUCUCCUCGAAGCUGUUCACCAGGAUCCCCGCCGCGUCGCUGUAACUGCAAAACAAAUCGUUACUUUGACAACUCAAUUGUAUUCGAACUAAGAAUCUACUAUUUUAUUUAAAAUUAUCAAUUAUUUUAGAAACGUACGAUGUUUCUUACCUGCUCAUGAUCCGGAUGACCGGAGCGUAGGCGGGAUGUGACUUCUUGCGCAAGGGGUCGGGGAAGUCCGUCCCGCGUAUGGCGACGCAGCCGGGCAGGCGGACGGGGUCGGGGAGGUCUUCGAAGUCGACGUCGGUGGUCUCGUCGAGCCGGGGCAGGCGCAGCGCGAGGGUGAGCAUCGUAAGGUUGGAAGGGUAAAAUAUGUAGCCCGGCACUCCGAGCUCCCGCACCAGCGACAGCGUCACGGCCCCAAAAAGGUCACAGACGAAGGCGGCGGCGGGGUUUCGGAAGGAGAGGAAGGCGUCGCGGAGGAGGGGGAGGCAUCGAGCGGGGAGGGCGCAGAGGUGGGCUUCGAUCGGGGAGUCGGGGGGGAGGUCGGAGAGGGAGAUGGAGGGGAGGGAGACGGAGGUGACGGAGUCGGAGGGGAGGGAGGCGAGGAAGGCGGCCUGCGCUGGGGAGUCGAAGUUGGAGAAGGUGAGUAGGGUGGCGGAGAAGCCGUGGGCGGCGGUGAGCCGGACGGCGAAGUCCGCCAGCGGGAUCACAUGGCCCAUCCCCGGCGUCGGGAGCAAAACCACAUGCGGCCGCCGGCUCUCCUUCCCCUCGACAGCCAUAUAAUUAAUAUCGUAAUAUUUGUUUGGACUGUCGUGCAGUAUAAAACAGAGAUACAGAUAUAUUCGUGAGAAGGGAAGUCUGAGUUGUGUUGUGUUUGUAAAAUUUGUCAGGAAGCUUCUCAUGAAUUAAGGGAAAAAAAAGUGUGGGCCAUGUUCUCAGGUCGGUCGUCUUUGGCUCCAUGUGUUGUGGACGUGUUUGGUUAUGUCUUCCUUUCCAAUUUAAUAAGACAUAAAUAGAAUAUAGUAAAUUUUAACUUUUUUUAAUAGUUAUAGCAUUUUAGAAAGCAAUUUGUUACAUAAGUCAUAAAGUAACAAACACAGUACAUGAACUUGAUCAAAUUAUUAUUACGUACAAUAAUUAAUAGAUGCUAACCUAAUUAUUUAGAUAAGAUGCAUCUUAUAAUAAUAUAUAUUAAGCUUACUACCUAGAACAAAAUAUAAUUUGUAUGUACGCGUCACGUUUUUAUUAUUUCAUUUUAAACAAUUAUUGUAUGCGCAUAAUUGCUGACGAGUACUGCGUACAUCUUUUUAAUAUGUUGAUACAUCAAAAUAUUUCUCAUUCUAGUAACUCCCCUUCAACCAGUAUUGUCAAAAUACACUCCUGAACUUUUAAUUUCAGUUGCUAAAUUAACCAGUUUUAUUAAUCCUCCUCCUCCAAUAAAGUUAUUAAUUAAUUAAAUAAUGAUGCUGAUUGAUAAAUUAUCCUCAAAUUGCUAUAAUUACUUUCCUUUUGUACGCUUUGGGAACAAAUAAUAUCUUUAUAUAUGUAUACAAUUAAUGUGUACCUUAUUUAUGGGCACAUCGACAAUAUCAACAAUUUAUAUAUAUAAAAAAAAAUCUUUUAGACAUUCAAAAUAUUUUUCUAAAAAAAUAUUAAAAAAGAUGGAUUAAAUACCUUACAUCUGAUUUAGAUUUAUAACCUUCUAUCAUAAUAUGGUGGGCAUACAUGUUACUAAUUAAUUAGUAAUUACUCUGCCGAAUACAUUUUGAUCCUGUUCCAACUUUUGUUUUUAUCUUUCCUCUUUUUGUACUUGAUUAAUUACCUUAUAUUCCAAUAAUUACUUUUCUCCUCCCAUUUUGCUUAUGUUUUAUAUUGGGGUCUAAAAAUGAUUCUACUAGUUAUAUUAAGGUAUUAGAUGAACUUGAUCCAAUAACUAUUUUUAAAAGAAAUAAACGAAACAGUUAACAUACUACCUUACCCUCUCAAAAAAAAAAAAUUUGCUGUAAUAAUACCUUUCCGCCGUAUCGUACGGGCCGUUAACUAGUUUUCUAUAAUUUAACAACUACAACUCACGAGGAAAACGACAAGUGCAAAAUUAUAUAAAAAAAAAAAACUUAACAUUUAUUGAGGAUCUGUCUUUCAUUUAAAAAAAAAAUGUAAAAGAGACAAAUGAAAUCCUCAGCAAUCCAACUGGUACCGACCGUCCCUAGAGCAAGUGGCAAAAGACUUGGUGGUUGGUACCCGAAACUCAAAUUUGAAUCCUAGUUGAUUCAUAUUUCCAGCUAAGUUUAUUUCUAAAUAAAAUAAACGAAGCAGGUAGCGCGCUAUCUAUCUCUCAAAAAAAAAAUAAAUAAAAUCCGAGCAAGUGGUCAAACAAGCCAUUUUGGUGGGACAGCAAAUAUAUUUCAUGGACCGAAUCAAUAUGAUGAACUUCUAGAAACAACAUAAAGCAAUUAAUUUUUAAAUUUAGAAGUCAUUGAGUAGAGCUAGAAUACCCCCAAAAGCACCAAUAGGUUGGUGUUUUUGAGUUUUUAGCUUUUUGAUGGAGAGAUAUAGGGUUGAGAUGAUAGUGGUAGGUGGUACUACGUGGAAUAAUACUUGAUCCAAAGGGUAUUAGUAAUUGAAAAGCAUAUCCAAGGGAUAAAAACUUAGAAGCACCAAUAAGUUGGUGGUUCUAAAAGUAUUCUAGCUCUACUCGUCAUUGAGUAUCACUUUUUUUAACAGGCGUAUAUUCCAAUCUACACUAAUUUAGUUGACUAAAUAUUCACGCAUCGUUAAUGUAAAAAUAAUAUUGUAAUACUGUGAUUAUUGAUGCACCAAAAAUUAUAAUUUUACAUCACUUUUAUUUCAGUAGUAUAUUAAUAUUUAAUCAGAUAAAUUCGAGUGCGGGACUUGGCUACUUGCUUUGUACUUAGUCCCAUACCAUUUGUUUUUUUUUUUUUUUGGAAUGUUACUUCAUCCCCUCUUUUGAUGUUGACUAUUGUCAAUUUGGCUUAAAUUAGCAUGCCAUUACAUUAAUAAGAGAAUCUUAUUGAAGAAACAAUGGUCACAUAUGAUGCAAAUAUAGUCAAAACAAAAAAGCUUUUAUAUUCUUAGGAAAUUACUUAUAAAAUAUUCGAAUCACCAUCUAAAAAGAAAAGAAAAACUAACCACCCAUUUUCCUGGUCCAAAUGGCUUGACAUUUUCAAACAGAGUUUUCAAAUUUAUUUAUUUUAUAAAAAAUAAUUACGUGUAUUAAGUUGAUCUGAAAAACAAACUAUUCAUUGAGUAUACUAACAUUCAUGCGAAAUUAAUAUAAAUAACACGCGAAAUUAACAGGCAGUACGAUGCAUACUAAACAAACUAUUAAUAUAAAUGACCUGCGAAAUUAACAGAUAGUAUGAUGCAUACUAUGAAAAAAAUUAAUUAGACAAAAAAUUAUAAUUGAUAAAAAUAAUUAUUCACAAAAAUAUAGAUAUGAUACUUUGUUUACUUUUACGCAGCACAAGAAAAUAAAUAGAUAGACCUAAGUAAUAGAUAAACCUAGUUAUCCAAAAGCCGAUCAAGAGGUAGGGAAGUUCCAGUCCUCUAUAUAAAGUUAAAUUUGGGACUCAGUACGCUUGUAUGGGUUUAUUGUAUAACGGUGUGUUUGGUAAAAUCGAUCUACACUUCAGUAAAGCUAGAGUUCCGUCUGUAUGGUAGGAAAAAUUCUAGAAUGCAACGGGUAUAUUAGUGACGUGGCGUAACAAACUAAUCAAAUUAAUCCUUUUAAGAAUAUAUGUCCCAUCAUGAUUGUAAAAAAAUAUUUUUAUUGUACUUUUGUUUAAAAAGAAGGAAUGUGAUUGGCUUGUUAUUGAUGACGUGGUACAAGUGUGACAGUGUAGAAUUCCUCCCAAGAAAGGGUGUAGGCCCCAUGGAAGUCAAGCUCCGCCAUUUCGUCCGUGAGCCAACUUGUGGUUUUCUGAGACGAAUUCACACAUGCAGGCGGUGUAGGCCCCAUGGAAGUCGAGCUCUGCCGUUUCGUCCAAACAUAGGCGAAUUCCUGUUACAAGAAUUAUGUCACCUCCACCUCGAAUUCGAUCAAAACAAAUACGUUCUAAGUUAGUUUUUUUUUUUUUAAGAGAGAAAAACAACAUACUAUCCAUUUCGUUGAUUUCUUUUAAAAUAAAAAAUAAACUUAGCUGAAAAUAUAAAAUAAUUAGAUUUCGAAUUUAGAAUCUCAAGUAUCAAUCACUAAAUCUUUUGCCACUUGCACUAUGGCGGGGGGUCAUUACACUCUAAGUUGUUGAAAGAAUUGUUNUUACCCUAUCAGAAAUCAAAUUUGAUUUUAAAAAUAAUUGAAGUAUACUUAGCAUAUAGGAGUUUGUAUGUAGCACUGGACAAUUAAUUUCUGACAAAGUUAGAGUAAAAUUUAAACACACAAAAUAAAAUCAUAAUACUGUACUUAAUGAUGCAAAAUCCACUGGUGAUAUUUUUCCUCCUGUUUUGUCCAUUUACAAGAUUCUUGUACCCUUCAAUUUUGGUAUUUUCCUAUCUUAUCUUACCUUAUCAAUAUCAAUAUAUUAAAGGGACCGACUGUUCCUAGCGCAAGUAGCAAAGAGCUUGAUGAUUGAUAUUCGAGAUAUCAAGUUCGAAUCCUAGUUGAUUCACAUUUCCAUCUAAGUUUAUUUAUAAAUAAAAUAAAUAAAACGGAUAACAUUCUACCUAUCUCUAAAAAAAAAAAAAAAAAAAAGAUUAAAGGCGUACCAUUAGGGCUGGCAAAUGAGCGAGCCGCUCGCUUCGAGCUCACGCGUCGAACUCGAUAUUUGCCAUCGUGAGCUCGACUCCGAAAUUAAAAAUGAAGCUAGCUUGAACAAAAAAACAAAGCUCGAAAUACCAUUUCAAACCGACUUGAGUACUUACUCCGCUCGUUCGAAUUAGGCCCCCGAAAAGCUCGAAAUCAUAUAUAUAUAUAUAUAUAUAUAUAUAUAUAUAUAUAUAUAUAUAUAUAUAUAUAGUAGAGCUACUAUACUAUCGAAAGUAUAGAGAUCUGGUGCUCUCGAUUUUUUGAUUCUUAGAUCAAUCCCUUUAAUCGUUUUUUAUCUUUGGAUUAAUAUUAUUAUUACCUUAUAGGGACCACUCAAUCCUAAGAGUAUUAUUUAAUCCUAGGGAGACCGCAAUCAUCUCAACGAUACAAUUUUUAAUCAAAUGGUCAAAAAUUAAAAAACAUCAAAUCCUCUAUAUUUCGAUAGCAUAGUAGUUCUACACUAUAUAUAUAUAUAUAUAUACAUACAUAUACAUAUAUAUAUAUAUACAUAUAUAUAUAUAUACAUAUAUAUAUACAUAUAUAUAUAUACAUAUAUAUAUAUACAUACAUAUACAUAUAUAUAUAUAUAUAUACAUAUAUAUAUAUAUAUACAUAUAUACAUAUAUAUAUAUAUACAUAUAUAUAUUAAAAAAUAUAUAAAUAUAAUAUAUAUAUAUAUAUUAAAAUAUAUAUAAAUAUAAUAUAUUUUAAUUAUAUAUAGGUUGAGUGAAUAAUCUGAGUUUAGUUAAAAUUGGGCCAAUGUUGUUGGCCCAUAAAAACAAACCCAAUAGACAAAUAAAAAAGUAAAAUUUUACUAAAUUUAUAUAUUUUUCUUUUCUUUCUUUCUUUCUUUUCUUUACAGAGUUCUAAAUUUUCAAUAUUUUUCUUUCUCAUUUUCUGCCUCUCACCCUAAGUGGCCAAGCCGGAAGCUCUCUAAGUUACCAAGUAACAUCAUAUGCUCGCCGUUGCCUAUCUUACUAUUUAUUGUAUGCUUGAAAAAACAUAUAGAAUAUUUUUAAAGUAAAAAAAUUAUUAUUCAUAUAAAAUUUUAAUUUUAGUUAUAUAUGAUUGGGUAGUUUAAUCCAAUAUUUAUCUAUAAAAUUUAUUUAUUUUUGACUGUAUAAAUGAAAAUGAAUAAUAUAGAAAUUGAAGGCGGAAGAAAAGACAUGUGAGGCUGAAAAAAUUAGAUAUUCAACUCAUAAAUUAUUUUUUUUAAUAUUAUAAUACUAUAUUUCAUAUAAUUAUUUUGUACUUUGAACUAUUAGACAUAUUUUUGUAUCAAAUUAUAGAUAAUGUUCUAUAUAAAUUAAACUAUUGAUCGUAUAAUGUUCAGAAUUUCAAGCGGCUCGUUUAGGGCUCGAGCUCGCUCGACUUGAAAUUAGGCUCGCUCGAGCUCGACUCGAAUUAAUUUCAAUCCAAGCUUGAGCUUAAAUUUAGGCUCGAAAUUAAUUUCAAGCCGAAUUUGAGCCGAGGUAAGCUCGCUCGAGCUCGGCUCGUUUCCACCCCUACGUACCAUACAUGAAAGGAGAAUCCAAACCAUGUGUACAGCAGAGCCCUCCUCGCUCCUGUGGGGCCCACUCUUUUUUUUUUUUUUUUUCUCUCUCUCCCAUACUUCCUUCACCCUUUCUUUUUUUAUUUGUUUUUUUCUCUCAACAUUUUUUUUUUUAUUUUUGUCUAUAUCACGUGUAAAAUUUUAUUAUAUGAACUAACCUUAUUUUUUAAUAGUCGAUAUAACAAAAUUAAAAUUUCAUACGGUAUAAAAAAAAUUGUACACCAAGUGUAUAAAACAUGCUUAUAUACAAUUUAUAAUUUGAUUUUUUUUUUAUUUUUACCUAUAUCAAGUAUAAAAUUUUAGCGCAUACACCAAUUCUAUUUUUUAAUAGUCUCCUCAAGGAAAGCGGUGGGACCCACUUUUUUUCUCUCUCAUACUCUCUCUCUCUCACACCCUAUACCCCCCCCUCCUCCUCUUUUUUUCUCUCAACACCUUUUCUUUUUUGUUUUUUCCUACACAAGUUUAAAAUUUUAUCAUAUAGAUCAACCUUAUUUUNCUUAUUUUUUAAUAGUCGAUAUAACAAAAUUAAAAUUUCAUACGGUAUAAAAAAAAUUGUACACCAAGUGUAUAAAACAUGCUUAUAUACAAUUUCUCAACACCUUUUCUUUUUUGUUUUUUCCUACACAAGUUUAAAAUUUUAUCAUAUAGAUCAACCUUAUUUUUUAAUAAUUGAUAGUGUACAGCAACCACUUCAAAUAAAGAGGUGGGGCUCACUCCACUUUUUUUUUCUCUCUCUCACUCUCCCUCACUCUCUCACACAUUGUACACCGAGUGUAUAAGACGUGCACAUGUAUUGCAUAUGAUAAAGUUUAGCUUUCUAUCUAUCUAUAUCCAUACACCCUACACACACCCUACACCCUACACCCUACACCCUACACCUCUAUAAUCCUAUUUUUUAAUAUUCAAUAUAACAAAAUUAAAAUUUCAUACGGUGUAAAAAAGUUGUACACCGAAUUUAUAAGAUAUGCUCAUAUACACGUCUUUGACAGUAUCAAAGAGAACUUAUAUACUUUGGGUUAAAAUUUUUUUGUACGUAUAAAAAUGCAAGUAUCUAAUUUAAACAUACACAAUAAAUGAAAUAACUAGGAAAUAUAAUCUGAUCGAAUACUUUGUCAUAAUAAAAGUAGAUUAUACAUGUAUGAAAGUUGUGUGCACUCAGUAGUUGUACAGGAUAACAAAGAAGGACCCUCAUAUUUCUGGCAAAAAUACUUUAUUUUUUAAUAGUCGAAAUACAAAAUUAAAAUUUCAUACGAUGUAAAAAAAAUUGUACAACAAGUGUAGAAGACAUGCUCAUAUAUAAUCUAUAAUUUAAAAUUUUUUUAUUUUUGCCUACAAAAUUUUAUUGCAUGGACCAAUCUUAUUUUUUAAUAGUCUCCUCAAGCAAAGAGGGGGCACACUUUUUUUUCUCUCUCUCAUUCUCUCUCUCUCUCUCUCACCCUACACUGCUUAUUUUAUUUUAUUUUUUCUCUCAACACCUUUUUUUUUUAUUUUUUCCUGCUCCAAGUGUAAAAAAUAGGGCUGGUCCAUGCGCUAAAAUUUUACACUUGGUGUAGGCAAAAAUAAAAAAAAUUCAAAUUAUAAAUUAUAUAUGAGCAUGUCUUAUACACUCGUAUACAACUUGUUUUACACCUUGUAAACUUUUAAUUUUUGUUAUAUCGACUAUUAAAAAAUAGGGUUAGUCCAUGCGAUAAAGUUUUAUACUUGAUGUAGGAAAAAAAAUUUAAAAAAAGGUGUUGAGCGAAAAAAAUAAAAAAAAAAAAGGGUGCAGGGUGUGUGAAAGAGAGAGUGUGAGAGAGAGAAAAAAAAAACCUAUUUUUUAAUAAUUAAUAUAAUAAAAUUAAAAUUUCAUCUCAUAAGUAUAAUUUAUAAUAUAUAAAAAAUAUAGAUAGAAAAAUUAAUAGAUUUGUACCUCUAUAAUAAAACUUCAUAAAUAUUAUGUAAAAAAAAUUAAACAUUCGGUGUAUAAGACAUUGUUACACAUUAUUCAAUUUGACUUUAACUUAACAUCAAUAAAGUUUAGUUUUGAGCUCUCCUUCCUUGGAGCAUUGGUGGGGUCCGCCCACUUUCUCCACUCCCACUUUUUGGUAGUAGGUAAUAUUUUGCUUUGUUUUUUUAGAAAUAAAUUUAGCUGAAAAUGCGAUUCGAAAUUGGGACUUCGGAUAUUGAACACCAAACUCUUUACAACGUACGGUGGGAACGAUAGGUAAUAUUAGAAUAAAAAAUGGGCCAGUAUUUGAUUUAGUAAUUUAAAUUUAGGGAAAACUUCAAAAACCCCCCCUGUGGUUUCGUGCUUUCUCACUUUACUACCCUGUGGUUUAAAACGUAUCAAUUUGCCCCCCUGUGGUUUCGUUUUUCUCUUUUUGUUAUCAAUUUUAUUAUUAUUUUUUUCUUAAAUCAGUGACAAAGUUAAAAUUAAAGGAUACUAAAGUGAAUAUUCGAUAAAUAUAGAUGGUUAUCUGAAGUUUUUUGUAUAUAAUUUAACGAAAUGUUAACGAAAAAGCUUCCGAAAAGAUAAAAAUGAAACCACAGGGGGGCAAAUUGAUACGUUUUAAACCACAGGGUAGUAAAGUGAGAAUGCACGAAACUACAGGGGGGUUUUUGAAGUUUUCCCUUAAAUUUAACAUCUUUUAGAUUCUUAUACUUAAAAAAAAAAUUAAAAUACUAUUAAUAGCAAAAGAAAAAUAUGGCCAAAUUGCAUAAAAAAUCCACUAGUUUUGCGCUGUUGAAAAAGUGGGCCACUUUUUUCGAUUUUGCAGAUUCGGACCGAAUUUUCACCAAACUGACCAAAAUACCCUUAUUACUUUUUCCCUCUCCUCUUUUUUUCUCUCGUUCAUUUUUUUUUUCUCGUCGGUAGAGUGGAGGCGGAGCGGAGGCAGAAACGGCCCGUCUCGCCUCUCACCCUUAUGCUCUCGCCCUCGCCCUCGCCUGCGCACUCCCCACCUUCCUCGCCUCCGACCCCGCCGAGGCCGCACCGCGACUUUUUUUUUUUUUUCCUCUCCGACUCUCCUCCACCGUCUUCGGCGACGACGCCUCUCUCGCCCUUCCGCCUUUCUUGUCCUCUCUCUCUCCCUCCUACUCUGCUGCCUUCGACGACGACGCAUCUUCGCUGACGACGCAUCUUCGCCGACGCCGACACCGUUUAGGUCGCUACGGCGCCGCAACCUAGGGUGGGGGGUCCUUAGUGGCGUUGUCGCCGGCGCUGGCAGAGAGGGGUGACAAAAAAAAAAUAUAGAAGAAGCAAGAAAAAAAAAUAAAGAUAGAAAAUUAUAGAAAAAAAAAGAUGAAGAUUAAAUUGCACCGUUAAAAUAAAAUUACACUGUUUUAAAAGAACGUUGCAUUAUUAAGAUGUAAACUGCAGCUUUAAGAUUAAAUUAUACUCUUUAAACGAAAAUUGCACUCUUUAGGAGAUAUUUAUAUUGUUUCUCCUCUUAUUGCACUCUUUCAGAUGUAAACUGCAUCCAUUAAGAUAAAAGUUACACUCUUUAAACGAAAGUUGCACUCUUUGAGAGAUAUUUACACUAUUUCUCCUCUUAUUGCAUUGUUUCUCCUCUUGUUGCACUAUUUCUCUUAUUGUUUACACAGAAAUGGUGCAACAAGAGGAGAAACAGUGCAACAAGAAAAGAAAUAAUAUAAAUAUUUCUUAAAGGAAUGCAGUUUACAAAAGGAGAAACAGUGCAGCAAGAAGAGAAGAAAUAAUGUAAAUAUCUCUCAAAGAGUGCAACUUUCGUUUAAAGAGUAUAAUUUUUAUCUUAAUAGAUACAGUUACAUUUAAAAGAAUGCAAUAAGAGAAGAAACAGUGCAACAAGAGAAGAAACAGUGCAACAAGAGGAGAAACAGUAUAAAUAUCUCUUAAAGGGGUGCAGUUUACAUCUCAAAGGGUGCAAGAAGAGAAAAAAUAGUGUAAAUAUCUCUCAAAGAGUGCAACUUUCGUUUAAAGAGUGUAACUUUCAUCUUAAUGGAUGCAGUUUACAUCUGAAAGAGUGCAAUAAGAGGAGAAACAGUGUAAAUAUCUCUCAAAGAGUGUAAUUUUCGUUUAAAGAGUGUAACUUUCAUCUUAAUGGAUACAAUUUACAUCUGAAAGAGUGCAAUAAGAGGAGAAACAGUGUAAAUAUCUCCCAAAGAGUGUAAUUUUCGUUUAAAGAGAUAAAAAUUUAUCUUAAAGCUGCAGUUUACAUCUUAAAUAGUACAACUUAUGUUCAUAAUAGUGCAACGUUCUUUUAAAACAGUAUAAUUUUAUUUUAACGGUGCAAUUUCAUUUUCAUCUUUCUUUUUCUAUAAAUUUUUAUCUUUAUUUUUUUUUCUUGCUUCUAUCAUUUUUUUUUAUCACCCCUCUCUGCCAACGGCCACUGCGCCGGACACGACGCCGCUAAGAACCCCCCGCUCCGAGGCUGCAGCGCCGCAGCGACCUCCACGGUGUCGGUGUCGGCGAAAAUGCGUCAUCGUCGGAGGCGGCAGAGGAGGAAGGAGAGGGAGAGGACAAGAAGGGCGGGGAAGGGUGAGAGAGGCUUCAUUGUCGGAGACGGUAGAGGCGAGUCGAACAAGAAAAAAAAAAGAGUCGCGGCGCAGCCUCGGUGGGGUCGGAGGCGAGGAUGGUGGGGGGUGCGCGGACGAGGGCAAGGACGAGCUCGAGAGCAUGAGGGUGAAAGGCGAGGCGGGCCAUUUCCGCCUCCGCCUCUGCCUCCACUGCUUUCUUCGGUGAGAGAAAAAAAAAAUGAACGAGAGAAAAAAAGAUGAGAGAGAAAAAGGAGAGAGAAAAAGUAAUAAAGAUAUUUUAGUCAGUUUGCUGAAAAUUCGGACCGAAUCUGCAAAAACGAAAUAGAUGGCCCACUUGUACAAAAACCCAAAAUUAGUGAAUUUUUUUGUACAAAUUGGCCGAAAAAUACUAGCUACCUAUUAUUAUAGUUUUUGAAUACAUAGAGUUUAUUAUUUGGCGUGAUAUGUGCUAUUAUAAAUUGAAGGACUACAAAGUUAACAUUAAAUACUUAAUUUACUAUCAAUAGUAUUAUAGGUGAACUCUUUUAUGCAUAGAAUUAAAAAAAAAGAAAAAUUAAUUACACCAUUUGCCCCAAACAUUCAUUUUUUGUUUUGAUUUUAGACUUAAGAUUUUCUCAAUUAAAUUCUUAAGCUAUAUUAUUUGUUUCGAUUAAGUCCUGCUCAUCAAAAAGUUUAAUAAUUUUGAUAAAAUUUGUAGCAAAUAUGAUUUAGAAAUAAUGUGACAAUUCUCGUCAGAUUUUAAUACAAGACGUUAUUGAAAGACUCAAGAGGCAUUUGAAACUUAAUUACAAAAUAUUUUACAAAAUUGAGUGUCAAAAUAGAAAGCUUAUGAUAGAGAGCGAUAUAAAGACACCACAUUAAAUUACUAACUUGUGGACUAUAUUAAUAUUAAUUCAUCAAUAAUAUUUUAUAAAAUUCGUUUCAAGUACUUGCUACGCGCAGGCUCGCUCCCUCCUUCCACUUAUUGGCAACUCCCUGCAGCGCCUUGUAUGAGGACCCGUCCGGCGGUGCGAGCGCCCUCGCCGCCGCCUCCUGCAACUCCUUGGUGCGGCACCGCAGCGCCUUGCCCUUCUCCCCCUGCAUCAAUUCCUUCACCGCCGCCGCGAUCUCCUCCCUGCCGACGACACCGUAGGGGUCCCUUGACCGCGGCCGGAUGGCGAUUCCGACCGCCUCGGUGAGCAGGACGGCAUUCCAGUGCUGUUCGGCAUAGAGCGGGUGCGCAAUCAUCGGCACGCCAUGCACGGUGCUCUCCAGCGCCGAGUUCCAGCCGCAGUGUGAGAAGAAGCCGCCAGUCGCAGCAUGGGCCAGCACCUUGACCUGCGGCGCCCACGACGACACCACGCGGCCCACGUCCUUUGUCCGUUCCAAGAAGCCCUCCGGAAGGUAGUUCGAAGGAUCAUCCUUGCUUCCUAAUAUCAUUUAUAAACAGUAAAAAGCGAUAAAUCAAGUAUAGCAACCGAGUUCUCCAACCAACUUUGGCCUAUGAAAGAAAUAACUUUAAUACUAAAUCGAUGUGCGAAGAAAUAUAAAAACUCGAUACUAAUAAAUUAAAAUUAUAUAUAUUAUAAUAACAGCACAUCAUCAAAUUUUAUAACAAUAGCUCGGUACCUGAUGUGAAAAAGGCGGCGUUCUUUUCUUUGUCACUGGGACACCUGACAACCCAAAGGAAGCGCUGCCCGCUGGCCUCCAGCCCGAGUGCCAUCUCCUGCAUCUGCUCCGUCGAGAGGGAGCCGCCACUCCCGAAAGACACGAAUAAAACCGAAUCGGCCGGCUGCCGGUCCAGCCACUCCAGGCAGCCCGACUCGUCCGCCUCAUCCGAACCGGACCGGACCAUCGGACCCACCAGGUGGACCGGCGGCCUCCCUGCUUCCGCUUGCUCCUCCUCUCUGAUGGCUUUCAGCACCUCCUUCUCCAUCUCCUCGAAGCUGUUCACCAGGAUCCCGGCCGCGUCACUGUAACUGCAAAACAACUCGUUACUUUGACAAUUCAAUCGUAUUCGAACUCGGAAUCUACUAUUUUAUUUAAAAUUAUCAAAUUCUUUUAGAAACUUACGUUAUUAGAUAAGAUAACGAUAUUUCUUACCUGCUCAUGAUCCGGAUGAGCGGAGCGUACGCGGGGUGUGACUUCUUGCGCAAGGGGUCGGGGAAGUCCGUCCCGCGUAUGGCGACGCAGCCUGGCAGGCAGACGGGGUCGGGGAGGUCUUCGAAGUCGACGUCGGUGGUCUCGUCGAGCCGGGGCAGGUGCAGCGCGAGGGUGAGCAUCCUAAGAUUGGUAGGGUAAAAUAUGUAACCCGGCACACCGAGCUCCCGCACCAGCGACAGCGUCACGGACCCAAAAAGGUCGCAGACGAAGGCGGCGGCGGGGUUUCGGAAGGAGAGGAAGGCGUCGCGGAGGAGGGGGAGGCAUCGGGUGAGGAGCGCGCAGAGAUGGACUUCGAUCGGGGAGUCGGGGGGGAGGUCGGAGAGGGAGAUGGAGGGGAGGGAGACGGAGGUGACGGAGUCGGAGGGGAGGGAGGCGAGGAAGGCGGCCUGCGCCGGGGAGUUGAAGUUGGAGAAGGUGAGGAGGGUGGCGGAGAAGCUGUGGGCGGCAGCGAGCCGAACGGCGAAGUCCGCCAGCGGGAUCACGUGGCCCAUUCCCGGCGUCGGGAGCAGAACCACAUGAGGCCGCCGGCUCUCAUUCCCCUCGACAGCCAUAUAAUUAAUA
Molecule: long non-coding RNA, 14169 nt
Filed under: Ananas comosus (pineapple)
Lineage: Eukaryota; Viridiplantae; Streptophyta; Magnoliopsida; Poales; Bromeliaceae
Description: long non-coding RNA (ACOM_LNC024822)
Source: RNAcentral